UACAGAGGGUGCAAGCGUUAAUCGGAAUUACUGGGCGUAAAGCGCACGUAGGCGGUUGGUUAAGUUGGAUGUGAAAGCCCCGGGCUCAACCUGGGAAUUGCAUUCAAAACUGGCCAACUAGAAUACGGGAGAGGGGGGUAGAAUUCCAAGUGUAGCGGUGAAAUGCGUAGAUAUAGGAAGGAACACCAGUGGCGAAGGCGACCACCUGGACUGAUACUGACACUGAGGUGCGAAAGCGUGGGGAGCAAACAGG
This 253-nucleotide ribosomal RNA is filed under the name uncultured bacterium. RNAcentral's name for it is "partial 16S ribosomal RNA". It matches the Rfam family "Bacterial small subunit ribosomal RNA", at positions 524 to 776 of the family's 1533-position model. The record is from RNAcentral.